AUUUGGGAGAAGGGGUGUGGUAGGUAGUGGGUGGGAUUUGGGAGAAGGGGUGUGGUAGGUAGUGGGUGGGAUUUGGGAGAAGGGGUGUGGUAGGUAGCGGGUGGGAUUUGGGAGAAGGGGUGUGGUAGGUAGCGGGUGGGAUUUGGGAGAAGGGGUGUGGUAGGUAGCGGGUGGGAUUUGGGAGAAGGGGUGUGGUAGGUAGUGGGUGGGAUUUGGGAGAAGGGGUGUGGUAGGUAGCGGGUGGGAUUUGGGAGAAGGGGUGUGGUAGGUAGUGGGUGGGAUUUGGGAGAAGGGGUGUGGUAGGUAGUGGUGGUUCACUGAUGUAAACCUCCAUUGUUUGUUCCUUCAUUAUCCAUCCAUUUAUUCAUUUUUUUUCAUUCCCUACAUUUUUUUUAUUCAGUCACGUGUUUUCAACUUGAGCAAAGUAGUGUUUGUUCCAUUUUUUAUGGGGGGGCACAUCCCACCAUGCAAGCUUCUCUUUAUAAAGACCCACCACUGUCUGGUACUGUGAGACGCCAUUGGCAGCAGCUCCCAGGUCACUAUGCACUCUGACCAAUCCGUGUGGAGUGGGGCCUGUGAAUCCUUUGAUAUACUUCCUGAUUUGAUAUACCUCUAUACUGGAAUUACAGCUUCUGUUUUACAUCUGGAAUUUCAGAACCUAUACAACUAUACUAUUUGUAGCUUUUUUACUGUCCGUCAAAAAAAUCUAUCUUCUGCUCAGUACCUCUCCUUUGUCGUUUUCUUUCACUUCUCUCUCUUUUCAUGAUCGGUCAUUCUCUCCCUCUUAUUUCUGUCUGUGGCUCAGAACAUGCAGCAUGUGUGUGUAAAGCUCCACCGAGGGUAGGCUCGAUCUCAGGCUCGAUAUCAACCUGUGCUGUGUGCAUGUACAUAAUGUAUAUUUCUUUUGUUGACUGUAUUAAAGAAGAACCAGAGAAUCCUCGCUGUCACGUUGUUUUUUUUGUCGCUGUAUACUGGUACAUUAAGAGUGUCUCUCUGUCUGUCUGUCUGUCUGUCUGUGUGUCUGUCUGUCUCGCAAUUUUAAUUUAAGGGGCUUUAUUGGCAUGGGAAACAUGAAAUAGAUAAUAAAAGUGAAAUCUCUCUCGGUCUCUGUCCUGUGAAGACAUCCUCCAUCACACUACUGUCAGAAAUAAAGAGGUGCUCUCUAAUCUCACGUGUUGGCUACAUGUUGUAAUUUAACUAAUUGUCUUUUUAUAAAAACAAAUUCCUGCUACAUCUGUCUGACUGGCACAGAUGACACCAGCUCAAUAAAACACAGCACAAAAAAACACUGAACUGAAAAAAGAAAUAAUCAAGUCAUGAUUUUUCCCUCCCGUUUCAUUGUAAUGAUGGAAAUAAGGGCAUCAUUCUGAGAUUAGUGCUUCUAUUUCUCCCUGCGUGACACUGGCUGUUAUACCCGCCUCUGCUACAGAGCCUGAGAGAACAAUGGAACAACAGGCAGGCUGUCGUCUCAGGGCCGUGGUGAAGGCAGACGAGGCAGAGACAUGCUCAGGUCUGACCCUAAACUGGAACUACAACCGUGAGUAACAUAACAUUUGCGUCAUUUAGAAGACGCUCUUAUCCAGAGCAACUUACAGAAGCAAUUAGGGUUAAGUGCCUUGCUCGAGGGCAAAUCUGCAGAUUUUUCAUGUUGUCGGCUCGGGGAUUCGAACCAGGAUAAUGUUGCACACACACGACCCUAACCCAAACCCAAGUCUACUGCAACACCUAACAAAUACACAUCGGCAUAACCGUCCUUAACUCCUGUGACUGAAGAGGAUGCCCCUAAUAACUCAGAACUUCAGUGUCAGCAACCAGAGCUGUUGCCUCGGGGAGCUCCUACAGAGACCUGACCCUGAACUUAAACUAACAUCCAAGCCUACAGAAUCCAAGCCUACAACAAGAGUGUGGGUACAGAGGAUGCCAUUCAUAACUCAGAAGGAAACACUUGUGUCCAGCUGUUAGCAGUCACCCAGUGCAGUAGACUUGACCACUUCAGUGUCCAGCUGUUAGCAGUCACCCAGUGCAGUAGACUUGACCACUUCAGUGUCCAGCUGUUAGCAGUCACCCAAUGCAGUAGACUUGACCACUUCAGUGUCCAGCUGUUAGCAGUCACCCAGUGCAGUAGACUUGACCACUUCAGUGUCCAGCUGUUAGCAGUCACCCAGUGCAGUAGACUUGACCACUUCAGUGUUAAAGGUUGAUUUGGACUCACCGGAGAGUCAUGGCUAAAUCCUACUAGGCCGAAGGAGUUGUACAUACAAACAUUUCACUCCAGUCCAGUAGAAUAUGACUGUCCUGGCCAGGGGCCAGUCUGUCUGUGGUCAGUCUAUACCAGUCCAGUCUACAUCCUGGUCUAGCAGCACUACUAAACCCCACCAAUCUGAUUCAUAUUUGGGUGUUUUAAUUCGUCUGUGUUUAUGAGUAGGCAGCUGAGUCGGCGGUUUCCUCAUUAAGAGGACAUGAAAGGGCUCUAUAAAGGAGCCUUGGUGAGACCGGCCCGCAUUCUGACGUCUGUAGGCUAGGGGACGACGUGACAGCGGGACCGGCCCAGACCGGCCUGCCACAGUCCCAGAUGGCACCCUAUUCCCCAACGGGCCCUGGUCAAACGUGCACCAUGUAGGGAAUUGGGUGCUGUUUGGGACGCCGACCAUUCUGCUCGGCAUCAGCCAGUGGAGGGACUGGCAGGCACACACCAUCAUACUGUAGUGGGAUACGCACCAAGCAGCCAGGCACCACUCCUUUUCAUGGUUUGGAUAUGUAUUUGUCUCUGUAGUUAUUAUUGAGCUGUCUGAGCAGUGGCCUGUAUUUGUUUGUUUGGUCUAAAAACAAGCUCUUGGUUCCAUCCUACCACUAGCUCUGGCCGUUCAGUGCUAGAUAUGCCACGGUAUGAUAAUGUUUCCACCUGGCCCUCCGCUGAGUGAUUCCACACACUGUUGUUUUGUAGGGGAAGCUGGAAAAACAACCCUGUAGCUCAAGAACGGUUUUCCUUUUGGCUCAUAGCCUUUCCUGGAAUCCUGAAUACCCGGUGUGACUGAUGAUCCCUACUAAGUUGCCUCAUUGCAUGUCCACCAUGUCAGGGGUAUCCAGGGCUUGUUGUCCACCAGGUCAGGGGUAUCCAGGGCUUGUUGUCCACCAUGUCAGGGGUAUCCAGGGCUUGUUGUCCACCAUGUCAGGGGUAUCCAGGGCUUGUUGUCCACCAUGUCAGGGGUAUCCAGGGCUUGUUGUCCAC
RNAcentral lists this long non-coding RNA (3229 nucleotides) under Salmo salar (Atlantic salmon). RNAcentral describes it as "lncRNA (ENSSSAG00000104627.1)". Lineage: Eukaryota; Metazoa; Chordata; Actinopteri; Salmoniformes; Salmonidae. The record is from RNAcentral.